Molecule: long non-coding RNA, 798 nt
Filed under: Manihot esculenta (cassava)
Lineage: Eukaryota; Viridiplantae; Streptophyta; Magnoliopsida; Malpighiales; Euphorbiaceae
Description: long non-coding RNA (MESC_LNC002991)
Source: RNAcentral
GUACGAGACUCAAGAUUGGACAAAAGGGUAGAAUUACCUGACAUAUGAUCGGUAGCACCAGAAUCAAUAACCCAUUUUGAGGAUGAAGACACAAGACAUGUAGUAGAGUUACCUGACUCGGCAAGUGCAGUGAUAGAGGAGGAAUUAGAGGAUUUUAGAGAUGCCUGGUAUUGGACGAAUUGUGUAUACUCAUCUGCAGAUAUCAAAAUUCCUUGAUUGGAAGAUCCAUUCAAUUUGUGUUCCGUGAUUUUAGUCAUCAUAGGAAUCACAUCAGUUACGGUGGCGGUUUUCACUUCAACCAUGACAACAAACCCAAAACGACAGCAACAAAAGAAACACAGAAUCAGAAAACAGUACCCGGCGUGAACAGUACCACGUGAACAGUACUCGUGAACAGUACCCGUGAACAGUUCCGAUGAACAGUACCCGUGAACAGUUCCGAUGAACAGUACCGAUAAAAACACCUCCCCCAAAACCCGAACGGCAAAUAAACCUCAGAUCUGACAAGGGAACGAUGUAGCGAUUCCAGCGAUGGUGAGAUCCAAAUAUUACCCGUUAUGGGUAACCCAAAUAAACAGAGCCCUAAGUCUCCAAAAAAAUUUUUUUUUUUCUUAAAAAAACUUUGACGGGAGAGAAAAAUUAAAUCUCUACGAGAAAGGCUCUGAUACCAUGUAGAAGGAUAAUAUUUGUUGUAUUUCACAAUAGAGAUUACAAUCUAUUUAUACAUGAGAGAGGGUAUCUAAAUAGGAAGGAAAAUCAAGUCUAUGAUUAUACAAUCCCUAGGAUUAAGCAACUGAC